AGGGAAUCUUCCACAAUGGACGCAAGUCUGAUGGAGCAACGCCGCGUGAGUGAAGAAGGUUUUCGGACCGUAAAGCUCUGUUGUUGGUGAAGAAGGAUAGAGAUAGUAACUGGCCUUUAUUUGACGGUAAUCAACCAGAAAGUCACGGCUAACUACGUGCCAGCAGCCGCGGUAAUCGUAGGUGGCAAGCGUUGUCCGGAUUUAUUGGGCGUAAAGCGAGCGCAGGCGGAAGAAUAAGUCUGAUGUGAAAGCCCUCGGCUUAACCGAGGAAUUGCAUCGGAAACUGUUUUUCUUGAGUGCAGAAGAGGAGAGUAGAACUCCAUGUGUAGCGGUGGAAUGCGUAGAUAUAUGGAAGAAUACCAGUGGCGAAGGCGGCUCUCUGGUCUGCAACUGACGCUGAGGCUCGAAAGCAUGGGUAGCGAACAGGAUUAGAUACCCUGGUAGUCCAUGCCGUAAACGAUGAGUGCUAAGUGUUGGGAGGCUUCCGCCUCUCAGUGCUGCAGCUAACGCAUUAAGCACUCCGCCUGGGGGAGUACGACCGCAAGGUUGA
This 550-nucleotide ribosomal RNA is filed under the name uncultured bacterium. RNAcentral describes it as "partial 16S ribosomal RNA". It matches the Rfam family "Bacterial small subunit ribosomal RNA", at positions 356 to 897 of the family's 1533-position model. The record is from RNAcentral.